RNA transcript from Quercus lobata, 2352 nucleotides. It is a transcript of the gene named sugar transport protein 4-like, with no coding region annotated. Lineage: Eukaryota; Viridiplantae; Streptophyta; Magnoliopsida; Fagales; Fagaceae. The transcript has 12 exons. The record is from RefSeq and is a predicted model, not a curated record.
UUUUGGGAACCCGUAAACAAACCCAAAUACCCAGUUUUUUUUUUUUCACGUUCUUUCUCUCCUCUCCUCACGCCCUCAACCUCCACAAAUCGUUCUGAAAGUUUGAUUGGAUCAAUACUUUCGUUGUUCCCUCUUUGCUGUUCUCUCUCAAAGUUUCAAAUUUAUCAAUGGAAGAUAUCUCAGUUCAACAGGCAGCAGCUCCCCCACCAGGUAGCACAGUUCCAGAUUUACCAAUGGAAGAUAUCUCAGUUCAACAAGCAGCUGCUCCCCUACCAAGUAGCACAGUUCCAGAUUUACCAAUAGAAGAAAUCUCAGUUCAACAGGGUGAAUCCGAAAUUAAUCCGGUCCCUCAUGAUGGUGAUAGCACCCAAUCACAGGAUAGUGCCCCACCAGCUACAUCCAGGCCAUUAUUGUUUGGCAAUGAUAGGUCGCAAUUCUUGAUCAAGGUCCAACUGUUUGCAAUUUCAUUUAUUGGAGGGAUGGUAGCUGGAUAUUGUCUACAAAUUGGAGGAGGUGUUCUUGGCAUGAAGGAAUCACUCAAACUUUUUGGUGUCUACCGAAAAAUGGAAUUUACAAAAACCACGAACUAUUGUUCGUUUUAUGACAAUAAACUCAAUAGUUUCGUUGCAUGCCUCUACUUGGCUACUACUGUAUCAAUACUGCCUUCAUUUGUAUGUUCGAAGUUAUUUGGUAGAAGGGUAGUAGUCUGGAUUGGCUUUGGACUCGUGUUGCUGGGAUCCAUUCUCUUGACAAUAAAGAACCUUCCUACACUAUUCAUUGGCCGGAUCAUCUGUGGUUUUGGAGUAGGAUGCAUUCUACAGGUUCUUCCCAUCUAUAUUUCAGAAUCUACUCCAGCUGAGUAUGCAGACUUCUUAGGUUCUAAAUUUGACCAUGGUUUUAAUUUUGGGGGAUUUGUGGUGGCAUCAACCGUAAGUUUUUUAGUGGCUAUGAACAAGUCGGGGUGGAGGUGGUCUUUUGGACUUUCAGGAGUCUUAGCUCUUGCAUCCUUGAUGCUAUCUGCUACUACUCCUGAAAGCCCACAUUAUUUUUUGGAGAUGAAAGACAUUGAAAGAGCUAAAAAUGCUUUUAAAAAGACUAGAGGUAGACUAAUAGUUGCUGAGUUUGACAAUUUGGUAGCAAAGAGUGAGAAAGUUUAUAGUUCUUUGUUUCAUCCCUUUAGACUCCAAUAUAUGCCAUAUCUAUUCAUUGCAUGUGUACGAGAGGUGUUCAUGCAAAUGACGGGAAUGUUUGCCAUAAACUUCGUCACUCCUAUAUUUUUAACUUCUAUCGGUGUGUCUGCCUCUACUUCUUUUAUUUCAUCAAUGGGAGUUGGGUGCACGUACUUCAUUAUGGCAAUUUUGGGUGGUAUGCUAGUAGAUCGAUACAAACGACGGGUAAUGCUGCGUUCUUCUUCAUUAGUGAUGAUCUUCACAUUGUUUAUAAUAUUUGGUCUACUUCGACUGAGUAAUUAUGAUGUGAUGUACUUUGGGGUGGAUGUUGCUGUUGCUAUUUCUAUGGCCAUGUUUUUCUAUGUGUGUGGAUACGCAGUGAUCAGUGGAACACGAGGAUGGUUUAGCGUUCCUUUACCCCAGAGAGCUAAAGGGAUGGGAUCCGCUUUGACAAUGACAGUUUCCAUGUCGUUCGUGAGCUUAAUGGCCUACAUAUCAACGCCUGUUGUAUGCGUCUGCAAGGAAUACAUUGUUCUCAUUUUCGGCUUGUAUGCUGUAGUGAUGGAAACAUUCAUUUCUCUUUUAGUUCCAGAAACGAGAGACAUAAGUGAAGAAGAAAUGAAUGUGAAAGCAUGGGGACAACACCGAAUUUGGAAGAAGUGCAUCCGAUGAAGCCUUGCUAUGUGGAGAAGCAUUUAGUCCCCUCUGUACAGCUGCAAAUGUGAUGAGAAUAGCUCCUCAAUUCUGCCAAAAUAUGAGUUUUCUGAAAGUGACAAUGGAAUGUAAUUUUGUUGAUCUUGUAGGCCUACUGAAUUUGGACAGAAUUUGUGCCCUUGAGAUAUCAAUUUAUGUUGUUUGAAGACGAUCCACUACAAGAAGAACAAAAUGAUGUCAGCUUACCGAGUAAAAAUUUAGUUUUAGUUUCAGAAAACUUUGAUGAUUUCAAGGCUGAUAAAGAAGCCAAACUGGAGGAAUGGUUGGGGGGGACCGACAACCCGCAUAAUCAUAGAGACACAAGUGAUGCCAAAGGGGCUUUUACAUGACAAUACUCAGCUUCUGAAAAAGCUUUACCUGUAAAUAUUGUUGUUUAUUAUAUAAUUCUCUGGAUAAUGAUUAUAUACAAGAUAUUUGUGGUGCUGUGAGAUUCAUUUUUGGGGUAAGAAUAAAAAUUUGUUCUCAUAUA